This 246-nucleotide unclassified non-coding RNA is filed under the name Borreliella afzelii. RNAcentral's name for it is "partial 5S-23S ribosomal RNA intergenic spacer". RNAcentral also lists the same sequence under 1 other name. Lineage: Bacteria; Pseudomonadati; Spirochaetota; Spirochaetia; Spirochaetales; Borreliaceae. The record is from RNAcentral.
CUGCGAGUUCGCGGGAGAGUAAGUUAUUGCCAGGGUUUUUAUUUUAUACUUUAAACCUUGAAUUUAUUUUUUAAAUGUUUAUAUUAUUUGAAUAAAACAUUCAAAUAAUAUAAAAAAUAAUAUAUAUAUUGACAUGGAUUAAACAAAGAUAUAUAUUAUUUUAUGUUGUAUAAACAAAUUGGCAAAAUAGAGAUGGAAGAUAAAAAUAUGGUCAAAGUAAUAAGAGUCUAUGGUGAAUGCCUAGGA